GUCUUGCUAAAACGACCUCAAAAUGGAUGAUGCCUAGCAUCUUGAAGUCUUCCUGGAACCUCCCUUGCAGCUACACAUUGUUCAGACUCCAUAAAAUCGUCAUGAUGAAUAAAGUCUAGAAAACUACAGAGACAAAACUGCGCUUAUCACAUCCUUUGCUCGCAUGCAGGAUCAUGAACUUUAGGAUAAGCAACCUAACAAUUAAUUGGAACUCUUAGUCAAAGCGAAUGGGGUAAUCUCAGGCAGACCGCACUUCAAAGAAGCUUGCAAGAUUGAACUGCUGAAGCUUAAUGACAGAUUUUACAACUAUAAACUGUAGUCAGAAAAACAUUAAAAAUGGAUAUAUUCUUACCAACAACCCAGUGAAUGAGACAUGAUGGUCCGAGAUAAAUAGAGCAAUGCUCUUUGCUAGAGAAAAGAACGCAUGCAGAUUUUUUUCUUAUAACAUGUAUACAUAAAGAGAAUUAAAUUAGAUGAUAAAAUAAAUAGAGGAAUGCUCUUCCCUGAGGAAAACAAACGCAUGCAUAUUUUUACUUAUACAUAGCAUAUACAUACAGAGAAUUAAACUAGAUGGUAACAGAAAUUGCACAAGCAUCAGUCAGAAUUUACCUUUUCAUAUAGGAGUUUAUGAUAUUUGAAGUUCAAAGUGUCUGGCUACUGUGCUCCCAUUUUAUGUCUACAUUUUUUUCAUCUGAAUUGCUAUGUGUAGUUGGCAUACUGUUAAUUUACUGAUCUGGAUCUAACGUCAGGCAUAUUUGGGGUAUGUGCCUAAAAGUGUCUACAUUUUAUCUCUUCUGUUAUGCUUGCAUAAUGUAAAAAUGGAUCAAGGAAUUUGUAGAUUCAGAGCGCUCACCAAUACUCCUGCAAUCUCUUUAGUGGGUUUCUUUGUCUGGGUCACUAUCUACUUAUGCUAGUUAUGCUACCUGUUGCUAGAUGGAUGGAUACAUUAUUAAAUAGGUUGAUGCUUUAUUCCACAUCUAUAUCUAAAGGAACUGACCUUUUGAAUCAUUGCUGACAGUCUAGUAAAUCACAGGAGAAGGACCAUUAAAUUACUCCAUGCGCUGAGCUGAAACAUAUUGGCAUAUCACUGAGGAAAAGAAAGAAACUACAAAAUUGACUAAUUUAAUGAUAGAAUUACACGCAUAGUUCUUUAUUUCCAGAUAUACCAUUUCCAAAGACCAAAUAGAGCUGAAAUUAUAUUAGUGGCCCAGGUAAAUAAAAUAGGGGCGUUGUAGGUGCUUGUUACCAUUAACUACAGCUGAGAUUAAAAUAAGGCCCAGGUAAAAAAAUACAGAGGCAUCAUAUCGUAGGUACUUGUUAGUAUACCAUAAACUAUGCUGAAAUCAUAGUAGGGGGCUAGGGGCAUGGUAGGU
RNAcentral lists this long non-coding RNA (1373 nucleotides) under Triticum aestivum (bread wheat). RNAcentral describes it as "long non-coding RNA (TAES_LNC021260)". Lineage: Eukaryota; Viridiplantae; Streptophyta; Magnoliopsida; Poales; Poaceae. The record is from RNAcentral.